GCCGAUGUCUGAUUAGCUAGUUGGUGGGGUAAAGGCCUACCAAGGCGACGAUCAGUAGUUGGUCUGAGAGGACGACCAGCCACGCUGGGACUGAGACACGGCCCAGACUCCUACGGGAGGCAGCAGUGGGGAAUUUUGGACAAUGGGCGCAAGCCUGAUCCAGCAAUGCCGCGUGAGUGAAGAAGGCCUUCGGGUUGUAAAGCUCUUUCAGUCGAGAAGAAAAAGCUGCAGUGAAUAACUGUAGUUCAUGACGGUAUCGACAGAAGA
This 267-nucleotide ribosomal RNA is filed under the name uncultured beta proteobacterium UMTRA-425-B. RNAcentral's name for it is "partial 16S ribosomal RNA". It matches the Rfam family "Bacterial small subunit ribosomal RNA", at positions 229 to 488 of the family's 1533-position model. The record is from RNAcentral. Lineage: Bacteria; Pseudomonadati; Pseudomonadota; Betaproteobacteria.